Molecule: non-coding RNA, 28 nt
Filed under: Homo sapiens (human)
Lineage: Eukaryota; Metazoa; Chordata; Mammalia; Primates; Hominidae
Source: RNAcentral
UUGAGAGCCACUGAUCUGAGCAGCAUGA